This is a long non-coding RNA of Agrilus planipennis (emerald ash borer), 1262 nucleotides long. RefSeq lists it as uncharacterized. The record is from RefSeq and is a predicted model, not a curated record. The transcript has 5 exons. NCBI's taxonomy places the organism in Eukaryota, Metazoa, Arthropoda, Insecta, Coleoptera, Buprestidae.
UUGCUUCCAUAGCGUUACCCCUUUGGCAUCCGAAUCCGGGUUACCAUUGUUUCUUCACGAAAAUGGCCCCGCAUCAACUUCAUUUCAGUUUCUUUUGGCCAACAGAUUACAGUCAUGACAAAGAGAGAGGAUCAAUCGUUGAGAAAACAAUAUGUACUGGAGAGUGUAAGCACCAUAAUCUCCUAAGAAGUGUGAGAACCAUGUAGGCAGUUUGACAGGGUUUUCCCAUUGGAUGAUAUGAAACCGUUAUUGGAAGACAUAUACCUUUAAAGUAAUGAGAAAACGUGAUUAAAUGCGCAGAUGUAUUAGGCAGGAGUGCAAAUCGUUUCCUGUAAACAAAGUUAAUGACAUGUAAAUUAAUUAAAGCAGUUAAAGAGCAAUGAGGUUAAUUAGUAUUAUUGAAAAAUGGUUUCACACAAUGUAUCAGUUAUAAUUUAUUAAUCGUUAUGAAGUUUUAUGUCUUUUUUAUUAUUCGUUUCUUUUAUUUAUUAAUCUUUCUUUUUUCUUUUUUAUCCUAGUUAGACCAUGUUUAUUUAUGAUUUUUAUUUAUUAUCUUAUCGUAGGUCAGUGUUGUGAUGUUAUUGAAUACAUGUAGUAGGUUUGUAAGUUUGAUUGGAGUAGAGCAUUUUAUUUAUAUCUGAGAAUACUGGCAGUAAUUUACAAUUUUCAUUUUUUAUUAUUGUCGCAAGAAAUAUUCAACUAUAUCAAUACGUAUGUAUAAUACAUACAUGGGUAAUUGUCUACAAGUACACCUUGUAUUUCAACAAAUUCUUGUUGACUAUUAUUUUUACGACUUAAAAUGGUAUAACCACAUGGUAUCUGUUUUGAAAUUUUAUUUUACAAAAUUUAAUUGGCCGCUGUAAUUGCUUUCUUUUAAUCUAGCUAAAGAAUAAAAAAUGUCUCGUUAGACCCUUUUACAUAUAAAAGAACUAUUAAAUUACAAAAAAAAAGCAAAAAACGCUUUCAAUUUUAAUCAUUUAGGGUUAGGUAAUCUAACAUAUAUCCGCGACAGACAAAAUACUUCUUGUACACGACCUGAUGUUUAAAAAUUUUGUCGGUGAGGUAAAAUAUUGUUAACUACCAACCAGACAUGUGCUUAUUAUGUGAAAUAAACGAAAAGUGUUUAUGGCUGACAACAACACGUGUUCGCUUCAAAAGGUUUAGCUUUUUAAUGUCGCCCAAGAAAAUAAAUAUACGCUAAUCUUAACACUUCUUGUACAAUCCUGUUUAUUUACGUUUGAUGUUGUGUUUUUUAUUAUCUC